GCCUCCAUGGCUCAGUGGUUAGAGUACUUCACUCGUAAUGAAGGGGUCCCGGGUUCGAAUCCCGGUGGAGGCU
RNAcentral lists this transfer RNA (73 nucleotides) under Nanobdellota archaeon. Its description in RNAcentral is "tRNA-Thr". It matches the Rfam family "tRNA". From Rfam's summary of the family: Transfer RNA (tRNA) molecules are approximately 80 nucleotides in length. Their secondary structure includes four short double-helical elements and three loops (D, anti-codon, and T loops). Lineage: Archaea; Nanobdellati; Nanobdellota. The record is from RNAcentral.